AAACUCCCACUCUUCAAGAAACAGCUUAAGGAGCUAGUUUAGAAGAAGAUGCUAUGUGCCAUACCAGACUAAUUGUUCAUCUGCCUCCUUAUUGUCUAAAUCAGAGAUAGGAAAUAUGUGGUAUCCAGCUGUUGCCAAACUCCCCUCAUCCCUCACCAUUGGCUGUGGUGUCUAGGACUGACAGGAGUUACAAUCCAAGGAUAUUGGGAGGGCCAGAUAUUGUCCAUCUCAGUCUACAUUCUGGAUUGGAUCCAGGCAUAGUUAUACUUAAAGCAGACCUAUUGAAAUGAGGGAGACUUACCUUGGUCAUGACAAACCUCAGGUUCCACAGGUUUAAGUGGCCUUAGUCUAAGUGUAUCUUCAUCCUAAUGAUUAGCAGAGUGUUCUGUUUUACAGAGUGCAAUCCUUUAUCUAAAUAUGCACACUGUCUAAACCAGUUGUCCAGUUUAAAGAUAACUGUAAAUGGAGAAACUAGCGUUCUUCAAGUAGCCAAAUGAUUAUUACAGUCUGGACAAUAGACUAACCAAAUAGAUUACCUGGCCAGUCUUCCUUACAUGCCACAAAGAACCUGGGCUCCUCAGGACAAGGUCUUCUUGUUUGAAAAAAUCUGGCCUUUUCCAUUCCACUCACCGUCAUGGCUCCCACUCUGCUUCGUUCCUGGUGGCCAACAAUAUCCUGAAGAUUAAAAAAGACCUAAUAAGGAUCCAAGCAUAAUUGUAAGAACAUUGCCAUAUGGAUACUGCAGCAAAGGGCAGUGGGACGGGAAGGCAAGGGUACAGCCGUUCUACCAGCCCUGUUGAAAG
Molecule: long non-coding RNA, 803 nt
Organism: Sceloporus undulatus (fence lizard)
Lineage: Eukaryota; Metazoa; Chordata; Lepidosauria; Squamata; Phrynosomatidae
Exons: 3
Source: RefSeq, a predicted model, not a curated record